This 827-nucleotide ribosomal RNA is filed under the name Cryptosporidium sp. J41. Its description in RNAcentral is "SSU rRNA". It matches the Rfam family "Eukaryotic small subunit ribosomal RNA", at positions 194 to 1080 of the family's 1831-position model. Lineage: Eukaryota; Apicomplexa; Conoidasida; Eucoccidiorida; Cryptosporidiidae. RNAcentral also lists the same sequence under 1 other name. The record is from RNAcentral.
GGAAGGGUUGUAUUUAUUAGAUAAAGAACCAAUAUUUUUGGUGACUCAUAAUAACUUUACGGAUCACAUUUUUGUGACAUAUCAUUCAAGUUUCUGACCUAUCAGCUUUAGACGGUAGGGUAUUGGCCUACCGUGGCUAUGACGGGUAACGGGGAAUUAGGGUUCGAUUCCGGAGAGGGAGCCUGAGAAACGGCUACCACAUCUAAGGAAGGCAGCAGGCGCGCAAAUUACCCAAUCCUAAUACAGGGAGGUAGUGACAAGAAAUAACAAUACAGGGCCUAACGGUCUUGUAAUUGGAAUGAGUUAAGUAUAAACCCCUUUACAAGUAUCAAUUGGAGGGCAAGUCUGGUGCCAGCAGCCGCGGUAAUUCCAGCUCCAAUAGCGUAUAUUAAAGUUGUUGCAGUUAAAAAGCUCGUAGUUGGAUUUCUGUUAAUUCUUAUAUUUUAUACUACGGUAUUUAUAUAACAUUAACAUAAUUCAUAUUACUUUUUUUAGUAUAUGAAAUUUUACUUUGAGAAAAUUAGAGUGCUUAAAGCAGGCAUUUGCCUUGAAUACUCCAGCAUGGAAUAAUAUUUAAGAUUUUUAUCUUUCUUAUUGGUUCUAAGAUAAAAAUAAUGAUUAAUAGGGACAGUUGGGGGCAUUUGUAUUUAACAGUCAGAGGUGAAAUUCUUAGAUUUGUUAAAGACAAACUACUGCGAAAGCAUUUGCCAAGGAUGUUUUCAUUAAUCAAGAACGAAAGUUAGGGGAUCGAAGACGAUCAGAUACCGUCGUAGUCUUAACCAUAAACUAUGCCAACUAGAGAUUGGAGGUGUUGUUCCUUACUCCUU